RNAcentral lists this non-coding RNA (31 nucleotides) under Rattus norvegicus (Norway rat). Lineage: Eukaryota; Metazoa; Chordata; Mammalia; Rodentia; Muridae. The record is from RNAcentral.
UGUCCUUUAAAACAUGGUGUCAUUAGCAGAU